RNAcentral lists this ribosomal RNA (253 nucleotides) under uncultured bacterium. RNAcentral describes it as "partial 16S ribosomal RNA". It matches the Rfam family "Bacterial small subunit ribosomal RNA", at positions 524 to 776 of the family's 1533-position model. The record is from RNAcentral.
GACAGAGGUGGCAAGCGUUGUUCGGAUUUAUUGGGUGUAAAGGGUCCGUAGGUGGCCAUGUAAGUCUGGUGUGAAAUCCCACAGCUCAACUGUGGAACUGCACUGGAAACUAUAUGGCUUGAGUACUGGAGAGGUGAGGGGAAUUCUCGGUGUAAGGGUGAAAUCUGUAGAUAUCGAGAGGAACACCAGUGGCGAAGGCGCCUCACUGGCCGGUUACUGACACUGAGGGACGAAAGCUAGGGGAGCAAACAGG